RNAcentral lists this ribosomal RNA (289 nucleotides) under Tarentola mauritanica (Moorish gecko). RNAcentral describes it as "partial 12S ribosomal RNA". Lineage: Eukaryota; Metazoa; Chordata; Lepidosauria; Squamata; Phyllodactylidae. The record is from RNAcentral.
ACUCAAAACUCAAAGGACUUGACGGUGUCCCAAACCAACCUAGAGGAGCCUGUCCUAUAAUCGAUAAUCCACGCUACACCUCACCCCCUCUCGAAACCAGUCUGUAAACCGCCGUCUUUCAGUUCGCCUUAUGACAGACCCAUAGCGAACACAACAGCCCAUCACUCAAACGUCAGGUCAAGGUGCAACUAAUGAGGGGGCAGCGAUGGGCUACAUUUUCUAUAACAGAACACCACCACCCACCACAUGAAACAUGGGCCAUAAGGCGGAUUUAGCAGUAAGCCAAACA